AUUGAACGCUGGCGGCAGGCUUAACACAUGCAAGUCGAGCGGAGAGAGGUAGCUUGCUACUGAUCUUAGCGGCGGACGGGUGAGUAAUGCUUAGGAAUCUGCCUAUGAGUGGGGGACAACAUUUCGAAAGGAAUGCUAAUACCGCAUACGUCCUACGGGAGAAAGCAGGGGAUCUUCGGACCUUGCGCUAAUAGAUGAGCCUAAGUCGGAUUAGCUAGUUGGUGGGGUAAAGGCCUACCAAGGCGACGAUCUGUAGCGGGUCUGAGAGGAUGAUCCGCCACACUGGGACUGCGACACGGCCCAGACUCCUACGGGAGGCAGCAGUGGGGAAUAUUGGACAAUGGGCGCAAGCCUGAUCCAGCCAUGCCGCGUGUGUGAAGAAGGCCCUAUGGUUGUAAAGCACUUUAAGCGAGGAGGAGGCUACUUUAGAUAAUACCUAGAGAUAGUGGACGUUACUCGCAGAAUAACCACCGGCUAACUCUGUGCCAGCCGCCGCCGUAA
This 501-nucleotide ribosomal RNA is filed under the name uncultured bacterium. Its description in RNAcentral is "partial 16S ribosomal RNA". It matches the Rfam family "Bacterial small subunit ribosomal RNA", at positions 30 to 523 of the family's 1533-position model. The record is from RNAcentral.